GAUGAACGCUAGCGGCGGGCCUAAUACAUGCAAGUUGAACGAGAUUGUUGGUAGCAAUACUGACAUGAAAGUGGCGCACGGGUGCGUAACACGUAUGUAACCUACCUUUAACUGGGGCAUAGCUUCGAGAAAUCGAAAUUAAUACCCCAUAACAUUUAGAAAAAGGCAUCUUUUCUUUAUCAAAAGUUCCGGCGGUUAAAGAUGGACAUGCGGUGCAUUAGCUUGUUGGUGAGGUAACGGCUCACCAAGGCUACGAUGCAUAGGGGGUCUGAGAGGAUGAUCCCCCANACUGGUACUGAGACACGGACCAGACUCCUACGGGAGCAGCAGUAGGGAAUAUUGGGCAAUGGACGAAAGUCUGACCCAGCCACGCCGCGUGAAGGAUGACUGCCCUAUGGGUUGUAAAC
This 407-nucleotide ribosomal RNA is filed under the name uncultured bacterium. RNAcentral describes it as "bacterial SSU rRNA". It matches the Rfam family "Bacterial small subunit ribosomal RNA", at positions 28 to 430 of the family's 1533-position model. The record is from RNAcentral.